This 291-nucleotide ribosomal RNA is filed under the name uncultured bacterium. RNAcentral's name for it is "partial 16S ribosomal RNA". It matches the Rfam family "Bacterial small subunit ribosomal RNA", at positions 775 to 1067 of the family's 1533-position model. The record is from RNAcentral.
GGAUUAGAUACCCUGGUAGUCCACGCUGUAAACGAUGAGUGCUAGAUGUCGGAGGCUCAAGUCUUCGGUGUUACAGCUAACGCGUUAAGCACUCCGCCUGGGGAGUACGGCCGCAAGGCUAAAACUCAAAGGAAUUGACGGGGGCCCGCACAAGCGGUGGAGCAUGCGGUUUAAUUCGAUACUACGCGAAGAACCUUACCAACCCUUGUAUGUUAGCAGCAGGUAUAGAGAUAUACCCUCGGUUCGGCCGGGCUAACACAGGUGUUGCACGGCUGUCGUCAGCUCGUGCCG